Non-coding RNA from Halocaridina rubra (Hawaiian volcano shrimp), 80 nucleotides. The record is from the annotation of a GenBank genome assembly. NCBI's taxonomy places the organism in Eukaryota, Metazoa, Arthropoda, Malacostraca, Decapoda, Atyidae.
GCCUCGGUAGUUCAGUGGUAGAUCGCCUGAGUCGAAAAAUCAUAAGCAUGAUAACGUGGGUUCGAUCCCUCCUUGGGACG